Molecule: microRNA precursor, 76 nt
Filed under: Myotis davidii
Lineage: Eukaryota; Metazoa; Chordata; Mammalia; Chiroptera; Vespertilionidae
Description: mir-9229 microRNA precursor family
Rfam family: mir-9229 microRNA precursor family
Source: Rfam by way of RNAcentral
GAGACACCCCUCCGGGGCAAGACUUGCUUCAGUGUGGCUUUGGUGCUCACUGAGUCAGCCCCCUGAAUGUGUCCCU